UUUCUUUCUUUCUUUCUUUUUUUUUUCUUUCUUUCUUUCUUUCUUUCUUUCUUUCUUUCUUUCUUUCUUCUUUCUUUCUUUCUUCUUUCCUUUUUCUUCUUCUUUCUUUCAGAUUUUAUUUAUUUAUUCAUGAGAAACAUACAGAGUGAGGCAGAGACACAGGCAGAGGGAGAAGCAGGCUCCCUACAGAGAGCCUGAUGUGGGACUUGAUCCCAGGACCCCAGGAUCAUGCCCUGGGCCAAAGGCAGAAGCUCAACUGCUGAGCCAACCAGGUGUCCCUAGAGGUUUCUAUAUAGGGGAGUAGAAUGCAACCUGCUAUACCAUUCUUCCUUGUCAAGUCAGGAACACAACGAAAUGCCCAGCAUAGCCUCUGGGCCACUGUACUUUCAUGUUCUAUGGCUCUCUUCUGUCCUUUCCCUCACUGCUGGCAGCUGUGGCUCUCCAGGCCACAGUAAGACCCAGCUUCCCAAGUUAAUGGUGGAGCUAGAAGGAUACAGAAAACAAGGUAGUUCCUGCACCAGCCAGUGUCCUGGGAAGAAAUCGGACAGGGACACAAUAACUAAUGUUACUCAAGAUAUCUUUUUCUCGAGCCAGGGAUUUAUGAAUAGAGGGAAUUUAUAUCCUUUUAUUAAACAGGCUGGUGUGUUUGUCCACUGAGUAGCCAGUCUCAAGAGAGACCUUAAGGAAGUUCUGUUUAGUCUCUUCAGUUUCUAGUGUCUUCAGUGAAGAGUAAAAUCUUCUCCAGCUUCAAGGUUUACAGGGUGAUAAGCUGCAACAGUACUCCCCAAGGCGAGUGUCUCACCCCAAGAACACUGCCCUGCUCUGGGGCUAUGGGAAGCCUUCCCGAGUCUUUCCAUUUACUAUGUUCUUGGAGGACUUUUGGAGUCCACAGGCCUUGUCUUAUUGGAUGUUCACAGAGGCAUGUGUUUUUCACUCUGCUAUGAAAAAGGAACAUGUACUUUUUACUUUAAAGUCCAAAGGAACUAAAUUUAUUUGCUCCACUUUUUCACGUAUACAACGUCCAUUGUUGUACUCUAAGGUGACAUCUAAUAAGCUUGUCUCAAAGUUACUUUUAAAAAAAUGGAAUUUUUUUUUCUUUUUCCAAAUCAAGUGGACUCGAGUAAGGAAAUACCAUUCAUCCAAACAUUUAUUUAUUUUUUAUUUUUUAAAAGAUUUUAUUUAUUUACUCAUGAGAGACACAGAGAGAGAGAGAGAGAGGCAGAGACACAGGCAGAGGGAGAAGGAGGCUCCAUGCAGGAGCCUGAUGCGGGACUCCAUCCAGGAACUCCGGGAUCACGCCUCAGGCCAAAGGCAGACACUCAACUACUAAGCUACCCAGGCAUCCCUAUCCAAACAUUUUUUGAGUAGUUGCUAUGUGACAGGAAUCUUCCAAGAUUCUCAGAAGAAUGGGAUAAUUAGAUUUUGGAUUGAUAAUAACAAAAACAAUUAUUGUUGAGCACUUUCUCUAUGUAAUAUAAAGUGCGAUAACCAGAUAUAUAAAGAUAUGUCAAAGAAGCAAAAUAAAAAGUAAAUAGCUGCUGAUUUGCUUGUGACAAAUGACAGAAGGUCUUGACAGAGCAAAGCAAAUGGAAUUGCCCACUGGACCUUGACCCAGUGCAUAGCCAUGACAUAUCACAAUCUGGGCUGUAAUGGAUAAGGUCUUCAUGAGCAAAGAUUGGAGACAAAGGGAGCUCAUGGGAUGCUGUCUUAUCUGUAGAAUAUGUAUACAACUUGGAUUGGUUAUCGGGUCUAAGCAAGUCUUGAAGCCAAGUCAGUAUUUAGGUGUUUCUAUCUGUGGAAAUUUCUCCAUUCUUCCAGUCAACUCCUUGUGUUUCUUAAGACAUAAAACAAUUUACUACACUCAAAAUUUUAUAAGAGCCUGAUUUCUUAUUUUCUGUGCUAAUUCUGUUUCUGAGAGUACCAAAAUAACUACACUUACACUCAGAUGUUCUCACGAUUGUGAUAAUCAAAUGGAAUUCAUUGAUAUAUAUAUAUAUAUAUACAUAUAUAUAUAUGUAUAUAUAUAUAUAUAUAUAUGCAAAUAUAUGUUCUAAUAGUACAUUUGGGUCUAUGAGAAAAUAGCCUUAGUAAUUAGGUCCACUAAUGCAGUUAGCUAGAUAUUGACACAACUCUGAAAACUUGAAACAUAUCAGUUUCAAACAUGUUCUUCCAAACCUGUACAACUUGUGUAAUAAGUUUGUAUGAAUUUUAUCUAUGGAUAUCUUUCUUUUUAUAAAAGGCAAAGAGGAACCCUUAUUAUAAUUUAUAUACAUAAAUCCUAUUCAGUAUGUUAAACUUCUAUAGGCAGUUUCUCUUUCAAAAUAAAAUUUUAUUUUUAAAAAUAAAGAAUUUA
Molecule: long non-coding RNA, 2353 nt
Filed under: Canis lupus familiaris (dog)
Lineage: Eukaryota; Metazoa; Chordata; Mammalia; Carnivora; Canidae
Description: lncRNA (ENSCAFG00845012498.1)
Source: RNAcentral